RNAcentral lists this unclassified non-coding RNA (219 nucleotides) under uncultured fungus. RNAcentral describes it as "sequence contains ITS1, 5.8S rRNA gene". Lineage: Eukaryota; Fungi. The record is from RNAcentral.
AUCAGUACCGAUGCCUUCAUGGUUGAGGAUACCGCACAGUGGCCUGCUUCGGCAGGCUAACGUGUAUAACCACUUGUUGAAACACCUUCCUUUGCUUCGGCAGCACCUUCCACUUAAUUGCGGAGGGGUAAGGCUGUCAGAAGCUCAUAACCAAAACCAGUUGAUGAAAUGUCAUGCUGUCUGAUACCGUUUAGUAUUUGAGAAAUCGAAUAACUAUUA